This 69-nucleotide antisense RNA is filed under the name Streptomyces sp. CB02056. RNAcentral's name for it is "ASpks TB sRNA". It matches the Rfam family "ASpks TB sRNA". Lineage: Bacteria; Bacillati; Actinomycetota; Actinomycetes; Kitasatosporales; Streptomycetaceae. The record is from Rfam by way of RNAcentral.
CUUCACCGAGCCGAGCUGGAGCGGCAGUUCGCGGUCCUGGCCGUAGGUGGCGAGGAGCGCGUUGGCCUC